RNAcentral lists this ribosomal RNA (254 nucleotides) under uncultured bacterium. Its description in RNAcentral is "partial 16S ribosomal RNA". It matches the Rfam family "Bacterial small subunit ribosomal RNA", at positions 524 to 776 of the family's 1533-position model. The record is from RNAcentral.
UACGGAGGGUGCGAGCGUUGUCCGGAAUCAUUGGGCGUAAAGGGCGCGUAGGUGGCCCGGUCAGUUCGUGGUGAAAGCGCGGGGCUCAACCCUGCGUCGGCCAUGAAUACUGCCGCGGCUGGAGCACUGUAGAGGCAGGUGGAAUUCCGGGUGUAGCGGUGGAAUGCGUAGAGAUCCGGAAGAACACCGGUGGCGAAGGCGGCCUGCUGGGCUAUGGCUGACACUGAGGCGCGACAGCGUGGGGAGCAAACAGG